Molecule: ribosomal RNA, 612 nt
Filed under: uncultured euryarchaeote
Lineage: Archaea; Methanobacteriati; Methanobacteriota
Description: partial 16S ribosomal RNA
Rfam family: Archaeal small subunit ribosomal RNA
Source: RNAcentral
CUUUUAGGGUCGUAGUUUGUUUACUAGAUCAGAAAGCGGGAUAAGGUUAAUCCAGAGUGCUUAGCUUUGAGAGGAAUUUCGCCAGGAGAAAAAUCUUGGAGAAUAAUUUGGGGGGAAAGACUGGGGCCAGCCGCCGGGGUAACACCAGCGCCACGAGUGGGGAUCCUGAUUAUUUGGCUAAAAGGGCCCGUAGCUGGUUUAGUAAAUCUCUUGUGAAACCGUGGGGCUCACCCCAACGGCGUGCGGGGGAGUCUGCUAGAUUUGGGCCGGGGGGAGUCUAGGUUUUCCGGGGGGGGCGGGAAAAUGUUAUAAUCCCUUGGAGGCCACUUGUGGGAAGGUGUUUGAUUGGAACGGUUCGGACAAUGAGGGACAAAAGCCGGGGGAGCAAACCGAAUAAAAAACCCGAGUGGCCCUGGCUGUAAACCCUCCGACCUGGGGUUGGCACUUCCCCGCGAAGUUGCGGGGUCGAGGCGAGGGUGUUUACCUCCCCGCCUGGGAAGUUGGUCCCAAGACUAAAAUUUAAGGGAUUGGGGGGGAAAGGGCCAUUCCCGGCCCGAAAAUUCAAUUUCCCCUAUAAGGGGUCUAUUAAAUUUCCCGGGCGGCGUUUUAAAA